RNAcentral lists this long non-coding RNA (1191 nucleotides) under Canis lupus dingo (dingo). RNAcentral's name for it is "lncRNA (ENSCAFG00020020244.1)". The record is from RNAcentral. Lineage: Eukaryota; Metazoa; Chordata; Mammalia; Carnivora; Canidae.
AUGUGUUCCGGGAGAAAGCUUCCAGGCCUCCAAACGGGCAGGGGCAGGUUGAGCGGGCCAGAGGUCCCCACGCUCUCCCUCGCCACCUCCCCCGGCCCCCCACCUAACCGGGCUCCCCUCUUGGCCCCUUCGGGGACCUGUCGCGUGUCUGCGGAGGAGGGUGGCGGAGACGGCGGAUUCCCCCGCAGCGGCGGGAGCGCAGGAGCCCGGCCAGCCCCAGCCCCAGCCCCAGCCCCAGCCCCAGCCCCAGCCCGGCGGGAGGUGCGGGCGCUGCUCCCCGGCACACACGCACGCACACUCGCCCGCACGCUGCGCGCUCGCGCUCACACCCGGCUCACACCCGGCUCACACCCGGCCCGCGCCGGCCCGAAGCAAGGAGCCUUCUCCAGGGGCGGAGGAGACCGUGGUCGCCCGGCCGCGGCUCGGCCUCACUGGUGCUUCUCGCGCCUUCUCCCGGCCGCGGCCCGCGCGGGGUUUCGGGGUGGCCCUCCGGGGCCCGCCGCCUCCCCCACUCCGCGGGGCCGGGGCCGGGGCCGGGGCCGGGGCCUGGAGUCCCCCGCGCCCUCGGUGCCCCCCUCCCCGGGCCACCUGGGCGGAGCACGCGGCCGUCCGGGCGCCGAGGGGGCUGCGGGGGUCCCGGGCGGGGCGGGGCGCGGCGCGGGCGGACGGGCGCUUACCUGCGGCGGCGGCGGCGGCGGGGGCGGCGGGGGGCGGCCGGGGCGUGGGCCGGGGCCGGGGCCGGGGCCGGGGCGCCGGGGACGCGGGGCUGGGCGCGCGGACCGAGGCCUGGCCGUCCCCUGCCCUCCGCCCCCUGCGCCUCCGGCCGCGCGCGCGGGGGCCGGGCCGGGCCCAGACGCACUUCCUCAAUCCUGCGGCCCGCGGGCUGGCGGGGAGCGAGCGCGGGCGAGGGGGGGCUGGCGCGGCGCUGCCGGCGAGCUGCACGCGGGCGCCUCAGUUUCCCCAGCCGGAACGCGGAGGUGCCCCGACGCCGCGCCCCGGAGGCCCGUGAGCCCUCGCAGCGCGCGGACCCCGCCGGGUCUGGGGGCCCUGCCUUCUCCUGUCGGGGCGGGCGCAGCCGCAAGAUUGGUCGGUUCUCUGCUCAACGCAGCGUCGUCCACCGUCCCCGGGCUCCGGAGCAAAACCCAAGGGCUAACCUCGGACUUGUAUGGGUUAGGCAGGGCCUCGCAGUGA